AUGGAUGUUGUGUCAUGGGUUCGAGGCUUCCUUGGCGGGAACAUGGAGAUCAUGGCAUCUCUUGCUUGCUUCUUAUUCUUGUUCUUCAGGUUCCGGCGGUGGGACGGGUUGCCGACGAGCUGGCCGGCGCUGUGCGUAAACACCGGGCGCAUGCACGAUUGGUUAACGGAGCUCCUGCACGCUGCCGGGAUGUCGUACGUCAUGAGGAGGCGGUGGGGCUUGCCGGUGGACGUCCUCGUCACGGCCGACCCGGCGAACGUGGCGCACGUUCUCUCUGCCAACUUCGAUAACUACCCCAAAGGCGCAAGGUAUAACACGGUGUUCAGCGUGCUCGGGGACGGCAUCUUCAACGCCGACGGCGAGUCGUGGUCGUUCCAGCGGCGCAAGGCGCACGCGUUGCUGUCGGACGCGGGGUUCCGCGCUGCCGUCGCCGCCAAUACCGCGCGCAAGCUCGACGAGGGGCUCGUGCCGCUCCUCGACGGCCUCGCCACGUCGGGCACAACGGUCGACCUGCAGGACGUGUUCAUGCGCCUGACCUUUGACCUCACGGCGAUGUUCGUGUUCGGCAUCGACCCCGGCUGCCUCGCCGCCGAUUUCCCGCACGUCCCCUUCGCUGCGGCCAUUGACGACACCGAGGAGGUGCUGGUCUACCGGUACGUAACGCCCGUGCCGUGGGUAAAGCUGCAGAGCUACCUAAAUAUCGGCCACCGCCAGAAGAUGUCCAAGGCUCGGCGGGUGCUCGACGCGUCUAUCGCGGAGUUGGUCUCUCUCCGGCGACAACGCGCGGCCAACUCCACCUGCGAGGCCGGCACCGACCUGCUCACGUCGUACAUGGCGUGUCAGGCCGAGGUAGGCAAGGUCGGUGCCGAGUUCGACCGGUUCUUGCGCGACACGACGCUUAACCUCGUGUUCGCCGGCCGCGACACGACGAGCUCCGCCCUUUCAUGGUUUUUCUGGCUGCUCUCCAACCACCCCGACGUCGAGGCCAAGAUCCUCGCCGAGCUGCUAGAGAACCCUCCGGCCUCCGGGGCCGGCCACCACCGCACGACCGCCGAGCUGACGCGCCUGGUCUACCUGCACGCGGCGCUCUCGGAGUCGCUCCGGCUGUACCCGCCCCUGCCGUUCCAGUACAAGUCGGUCGCGCGGCCGGACACGCUCCCAAGCGGCGCGACCGUGGGGCCGUCGUGGGUGGUGAUCAUACCCUUCUACUCGAUGGGACGCAUGGAGGCGGUGUGGGGCAAGGACUGCCUGGAGUUCCGGCCGGAGCGGUGGCUGACAGCGGAGGGGCGGUUCCGGCACGAGCCGUCGCACAAGUUCGUGGCGUUCAAUAUGCGGCCCCGGACGUGCCUUGGCAAGGACCUGGCCUACGCGCAGAUGAAGGCCGUUGUCGCCGCCGUCGUGCCGCGGUUUCAGUUGGAGGUCGCUGCCGGCGCCGCGGCGAGGCCCAAGCCCAAGCUGUCCCCCAUACUCCACAUGAAGGACGGGCUCGAGGUGAGGGUCCACAAGAGAUAA
RNAcentral lists this ribosomal RNA (1512 nucleotides) under Triticum aestivum (bread wheat). Its description in RNAcentral is "partial small subunit ribosomal RNA". Lineage: Eukaryota; Viridiplantae; Streptophyta; Magnoliopsida; Poales; Poaceae. The record is from RNAcentral.